GAUGAACGCUGGCGGCGUGCCUAACACAUGCAAGUCGAACGAAGCACUUUUUUACGAUCCCUUCGGGGUGACGAAUUUGUGACUGAGUGGCGGACGGGUGAGUAACGCGUGGGAAACCUGCCUUGUACCGGGGGAUAGCAGUUGGAAACGACUGAUAAUACCGCAUAAGCGCACAGUAUCACAUGAUACAGUGUGAAAAACUCCGGUGGUACAAGAUGGUCCCGCGUCUGAUUAGCUUGUUGGCGGGGUAAAGGCCCACCAAGGCGACGAUCAGUAGCCGACCUGAGAGGGUGACCGGCCACAUUGGGACUGAGACACGGCCCAAACUCCUACGGGAGGCAGCAGUGGGGAAUAUUGCACAAUGGAGGAAACUCUGAUGCAGCGACGCCGCGUGAGCGAUGAAGUAUUUCGGUAUGUAAAGCUCUAUCAGCAGGGAAGAUAAAUGACGGUACCUGAGUAAGAAGCUCCGGCUAAAUACGUAG
This 482-nucleotide ribosomal RNA is filed under the name uncultured bacterium. RNAcentral's name for it is "bacterial SSU rRNA". It matches the Rfam family "Bacterial small subunit ribosomal RNA", at positions 28 to 508 of the family's 1533-position model. The record is from RNAcentral.